RNAcentral lists this ribosomal RNA (1383 nucleotides) under uncultured bacterium. RNAcentral's name for it is "bacterial SSU rRNA". It matches the Rfam family "Bacterial small subunit ribosomal RNA", at positions 18 to 1396 of the family's 1533-position model. The record is from RNAcentral.
CCUGGCUCCGUAUGAACGCUAGCUACAGGCUUAACACAUGCAAGUCGAGGGGCAGCAUGGUCUUAGCUUGCUAAGACUGAUGGCGACCGGCGCACGGGUGAGUAACACGUAUCCAACCUGCCGUCUACUCUUGGACAGCCUUCUGAAAGGAAGAUUAAUACAAGAUGGCAUCAUGAGUCCGCAUGUUCACAUGAUUAAAGGUAUUCCGGUAGACGAUGGGGAUGCGUUCCAUUAGAUAGUAGGCGGGGUAACGGCCCACCUAGUCUUCGAUGGAUAGGGGUUCUGAGAGGAAGGUCCCCCACAUUGGAACUGAGACACGGUCCAAACUCCUACGGGAGGCAGCAGUGAGGAAUAUUGGUCAAUGGGCGAGAGCCUGAACCAGCCAAGUAGCGUGAAGGAUGACUGCCCUAUGGGUUGUAAACUUCUUUUAUAAAGGAAUAAAGUCGGGUAUGCAUACCCGUUUGCAUGUACUUUAUGAAUAAGGAUCGGCUAACUCCGUGCCAGCAGCCGCGGUAAUACGGAGGAUCCGAGCGUUAUCCGGAUUUAUUGGGUUUAAAGGGAGCGUAGAUGGAUGUUUAAGUCAGUUGUGAAAGUUUGCGGCUCAACCGUAAAAUUGCAGUUGAUACUGGAUAUCUUGAGUGCAGUUGAGGCAGGCGAAAUUCGUGGUGUAGCGGUGAAAUGCUUAGAUAUCACGAAGAACUCCGAUUGCGAAGGCAGCCUGCUAAGCUGCAACUGACAUUGAGGCUCGAAAGUGUGGGUAUCAAACAGGAUUAGAUACCCUGGUAGUCCACACGGUAAACGAUGAAUACUCGCUGUUUGCGAUAUACUGCAAGCGGCCAAGCGAAAGCGUUAAGUAUUCCACCUGGGGAGUACGCCGGCAACGGUGAAACUCAAAGGAAUUGACGGGGGCCCGCACAAGCGGAGGAACAUGUGGUUUAAUUCGAUGAUACGCGAGGAACCUUACCCGGGCUUAAAUUGCAGAUGAAUUACGGUGAAAGCCGUAAGCCGCAAGGCAUCUGUGAAGGUGCUGCAUGGUUGUCGUCAGCUCGUGCCGUGAGGUGUCGGCUUAAGUGCCAUAACGAGCGCAACCCUUGUUGUCAGUUACUAACAGGUUCCGCUGAGGACUCUGACAAGACUGCCAUCGUAAGAUGUGAGGAAGGUGGGGAUGACGUCAAAUCAGCACGGCCCUUACGUCCGGGGCUACACACGUGUUACAAUGGGGGGUACAGAGGGCCGCUACCACGCGAGUGGAUGCCAAUCCCCAAAACCUCUCUCAGUUCGGACUGGAGUCUGCAACCCGACUCCACGAAGCUGGAUUCGCUAGUAAUCGCGCAUCAGCCACGGCGCGGUGAAUACGUUCCCGGGCCUUGUACACACCGCCCG